GACAGAGGCCCCAAGCGUUAGGCGGAAUCACUGGGCUUAAAGCGUGUGUAGGCGGAUCGUUAAGUGUCUUGUGAAAUCCCACGGCUCACCCGUGGAACUGCUGGGCAUACUGGCGAUCUUGGGCCAACUAGGGGCAGUCGGAACAAGCGGUGGAGCGGUGAAAUGCGUAGAUAUCGCUUGGAACGCCAACGGUGAAAACAGGUUGCUGGGGGUGUGCUGACGCUGAGACACGAAAGCCAGGGGAGCGAACGGG
This 253-nucleotide ribosomal RNA is filed under the name uncultured bacterium. RNAcentral's name for it is "partial 16S ribosomal RNA". It matches the Rfam family "Bacterial small subunit ribosomal RNA", at positions 524 to 776 of the family's 1533-position model. The record is from RNAcentral.